CCCAUUGCCAAUUCACAAAAACCUCUCUUCUUCUUCUUCUUCUUUCUUUAACCCCAACAUUAUUUUUCCAUAGAUCUUCUUCUUUGAUGUUCUUGUUCUUUAUUAAAAAAGAUUGAUGAAGAAAGACAAGAACAAUUGGAGAUUGACCCUUGCACCAUUGAGAAACAUUUGUCCGUAAUUUGCUAAAUUGAUUUGUGCAUCACAUCAAGGGAGAUAUUCAGUCUAUUUGUCACUGCUGGUAAGUAACGAUGGUGUUUAAGCUUAUUUUUUUUCGUCUGCAGAUAUUGCAAGUUUUCUUCGAUUUCUUAAACAUUCUGUGAGAUGUUUAAAAUAUUCUGAUAUAUUUGUAGGUAGUUGUUUCAAACAUCCUGAAAAUCCAAUCAAGAUGUUUUAAACAUCCUCUUAGGAUAUUUCAAACAUCCUAAGUAUAUUCUCAAGAUGUUUUAAACAUCUUCUUAGAAUGUUUGAAACUUCAUUAGGAUGUUUGCAAAAAACUUGAUUCUUUAAAUCAAUUAUUUAUAUAUUUGUGAUAUCUUUAGGUAUUACAAUCAUAAAAAGAUUAAUUAUAUAGUAUGAGAGUUGAUUGUCACGGUGAAUGAGAAGAGUGCUCUACUCAUUUUACCUGGCGUUCGAAGAGUAAAGAGACGGUUCUAAAUAAAAGUGCGUACAAAUGUUACGUAUGAUGAGUUUGUUGAUAAGAUUAUUAGUGGUUGUGAAUUAAUUUGUUAUCCGAGUGAUGUCUCCAUGACUUACAUGCAUAGCAUUGGUGAAAAGCACAAGAAAGUAGCUCCCUUUAAAAUAAAGAAUUAUGAUUAUUUGAGCUAUUAUUUGGAAGAUGAAAAUAGGCCCAUUCUAAGGGUAUCUAUGCCGAGCGCAAAACACAAUAGAAAAUUUAUGCUCGCUAGUCAAAUAUAGUAUAGUUUAAUUAUCAUCUCCACAGGGAUUUGAUUUAAAUAAUGUUCAAGUAAUUUUUGGCUUAAACGCUAUUCGAGAUGAUCAACACUUUGAUUGAGAAUGAUUAUUGUUACAUCUCGCAUUUUCAUAUGUUAAAAGCUUCGUCUUCAGUUAAUUGAUAUAGACUCGGGGAUGAGAUCAUCUUGACGUUAACAUAUUUAUGCUAUUUAUAACAAGCAAUCAAGAAGUGUCAUGAAGGAUAAAGGGGUACACGAAUUAAAGAAAACGAGUUUCGUUGAAAGUGGCCAAUUUGAGAUAAAAUACGGGUCGAGCAAUAAUACCCGAUGAUUAUGAACUAGUACCAUGCAAGGUACCAUAUGACCAUGGUAGUAUAAUAUAUAAAGUAUAUUAAAAAUAAAUAGAAUUUUAAGUAAUUUGUGACAAAUUUUAAAUUAUGCGGGUAAUUGGUUAAUUAUCGGGUAACGGAACAUUACCCAAUUAACUAAGAAGUAGAUAAAAAUUAACAAAAUUACACCCCAAAAGAAAUGUGGCAGCCCCCUUUUAGUUUAAUGUGACUCAUUAUCCAUCUUUACAUGUGUCACAUUAAGAUUUAAGUGGCAAUCAUUUAAGAUUGGAGUAAAUUCUCCAUUUUCUUGCAUGACAUCAUCCUAAUCAUUUGAACCAAAGGCUACUGCAGAACCCAUAACGAGCUUAUAAGCAUUAUCCAUGAAUCUUUCCUUCAAAAACGUUCUGUCUGUGGUCCACAAGAAAUAUUACAAACAGAAGCUAAAUGACUCACUUUGAUAUAUAUAUAUAUAUAUAUAAUCUUCUUCAAAACCGUUAGAAACAGAAGCAAAUUUUCCAACGAGAAUUUGUUGGAAUAGUAGCAACGUGGAAUUUUGCGGUUCUAGAAGAGUACGGUGCAAUCUUCGCCAAGAAUAUUAUACGAAGUUUUCCUGCUCCAGGUAUGUUAAGGUCAUCCCUUCUUUCUUUUGUCAUGGUCCAAAUUAUACUGAAGAAACGAGCAAACACACAAUUUCCAUAAAUUACUCUUUUCAUAGAAAUAUUAGGGGUGUCUAUAUUCUUAAUUCCCCAUGUGAAUUAUUAUUAUCUUCUGUUCAUGGGUCUCAAAAGGAAUAUUGAGAUUUUUAUGUAUUUUUCAUGCAUUUCACCCAUUUAUACAUGUGCAUUGACCCAUGACCAGAUGACGUUAUAUACGCGUAUAUAUGUAAAUAUAUGUAUAUGGGAUAUGGGAAAAGGUUACAACGUUAUAUACGCACCACCACCUGAUCAGCUGGUACAUGUUGAUGAUGUUGCCCACAGUGGCCGAGACGAUAUGAUGGGAUGCCCUCAGUUACUUGAUGAUAUUAUGUACACCUAUACCUAUGCAUGACACGAUUUUUAUACGCAUGUGCAUGACAUUAUAAAUGUUUCAGAAUUUACAAAAUUAUUUAGAUUUAAAGAUGUGUUUCUUUAUUCCAUGUUUCACCUAUGUCUUUUAUGUACUAAUUUCAUGCCUUACAUACUCAGUACAUUUUUCGUAUUGACGCCCUAUUUCAUGGGACCUGCGUUUCAUACCCGCAGGUGCAGGUAGGCAAGUUGACGGUCCCCCUUCUUAGGAUCCCUAAUCAGCGAGAGUUGGCGUGC
Molecule: long non-coding RNA, 2541 nt
Filed under: Nicotiana tabacum (common tobacco)
Lineage: Eukaryota; Viridiplantae; Streptophyta; Magnoliopsida; Solanales; Solanaceae
Description: long non-coding RNA (NTAB_LNC006970)
Source: RNAcentral